UGAAUACGAGACGCUAAGGCGUCGAAGUAGUGUAUGUCAUGCUUCCAAGAAAAGCUUGCACUGUCAUAGAUAAAAAACGCCUGUACCAUAACCGACACAGGUGGGUAGGUAGAGUAUACUAAGGGGCGCGAGAUAACUCUCUCUAAGGAACUCGGCAAAAUAACUCCGUAACUUCGGGAGAAGGAGUGCCUUAUUCUUAAGGUUGCAAUAACAAGAUCCAAGCAACUGUUUAUCAAAAACACAGGUCUCCGCUAAGUCGUAAGACGAUGUAUGGGGGCUGACGCCUGCCCAGUGCCAGAAGGUUAAAGAAGUUGGUUAGCAUUUGCGAAGCUGAUAACUGAAGCCCUGGUGAACGGCGGCCGUAACAAUAACGGUCCUAAGGUAGCGAAAUUCCUUGUCGGGUAAGUUCCGACCCGCACGAAAGGCGUAAUGAUUUGGAUACUGUCUCGGAGAGGGGCUCGGUGAAAUAGACUUGUCUGUGAAGAUGCGGACUACCUGCACCAGGACAGAAAGACCCUAUGAAGCUUUACUGUAACUUGAAAUUGAAAUUGGACUUUAUUCGCGCAGCAUAGGUGGGAGGCGUUGAUUAUAAUCUCGUGGGAUUAUUGGAGCCAUCAGUGAGAUACCACUCUUGUAAUGUUAGAUUUCUAACUUUGAAUCAUUAUCUGGUCAAAGAACAGUUUCGGGCGGGCAGUUUGACUGGGGCGGUCGCCUCCUAAACGGUAACGGAGGCGUACAAAGGUUUCCUCUGAACGGUUAGAAAUCGUAUCUAGAGUGUAAAGGCAUAAGGAAGCUUGACUGUGAGACCUACAAGUCGAGCAGGGACGAAAGUCGGUCUUAGUGAUCUGACGGUACUGAGUGGAAAGGCCGUCACUCAACGGAUAAAAGUUACUCUAGGAUAACAGGCUGAUCUCCCCCAAGAGUUCACAUCGACGGGGAGGUUUGGCACCUUGAUGUCGGCUCAUCGCAUCCUGGGGCGGUAGUACGUCCCAAGGGUUGGGCUGUUCGCCCAUGAAAGCGGUACGCGAGCUGGGUUCAGAACGUCGUGAGACAGUUCGGUCCAUAUCCGGUGUAGGCGUUAGAAUAUUGAGAGGAGCCUUCUUUAGUACGAGAGGACCGAGAAGGACAUACCUCUGGUGUACCAGUUAUCGUGCCAACGGUAAACGCUGGGUAGCUAUGUAUGGAGUGGAUAACCGCUGAAAGCAUCUAAGUGGGAAGCCCACCUCAAGAUAAGUAUUCUCAUC
RNAcentral lists this ribosomal RNA (1244 nucleotides) under metagenome. RNAcentral's name for it is "bacterial LSU rRNA". It matches the Rfam family "Bacterial large subunit ribosomal RNA", at positions 1564 to 2818 of the family's 2925-position model. The record is from RNAcentral.